GAUGAAGAACGUAGUGAAAUGCGAUAAGUAAUGUGAAUUGCAGAAUUCAGUGAAUCAUCGAAUCUUUGAACGCACAUUGCGCCCGCCAGCAUUCUGCCGGGCAUGCCUGUUCGAGCGUCAUUUCAACCCUCGAGCCCCCCCGGGGGCCUCGGUGUUGGGGGACGGCACACCAGCCGCCCCCGAAAUGCAGUGGCGACCUCGCCGCAGCCUCCCCUGCGUAGUAGCACACACCUCGCACCGGAGCGCGGAGACGGUCACGCCGUAAAACGCCCAACUUCUUAGAGUUGACCUCGGAUCAGGUAGGAAUACCCGCUGAACUUAAGCAUAUCAAUAAGCGGAGGA
This 342-nucleotide unclassified non-coding RNA is filed under the name soil metagenome. Its description in RNAcentral is "partial contains 5.8S ribosomal RNA, internal transcribed spacer 2, and large subunit ribosomal RNA". The stretch from base 1 to 120 matches the Rfam family "5.8S ribosomal RNA", at positions 35 to 154 of the family's 154-position model. The record is from RNAcentral.